AAGACUCCGAGUUCUCCAUACUCUUCAGGGAUGAGUCGUGUGGCAGUGGGAAAUGCACUUGGGCUAGACCAGCAGUUUGCUGGCCUGGACCCAAACUCAUCAUAUAAUCAGAAUGGAGGAAGUAUAACCAGCAAAGGGUACUAUAUUCCUCCUCACUUAAGGAACAGAGAAGCUACUAAAGAAUUCUAUGAUAAAGACAGUUCAGGAUGGAGUUCCAGUAAAGAUAAGGAUGCAUACAGCAGUUUUGGUUCCCAUAGUGAUUCAAGAGGGAAGUCUAGUUUCUUCAGUGAUCCUGGAAGCGGAUCAAGGGGAAGGUUCGGUGAUCGUGGAUGAGGUGACUAUGACAACUUUGACAGUCGUGGUGGCAGAGGUGGUUUUGGCAAAUAUGAAUGUGGAAAUAGUCGCUGGUGUGACAAAUCAGAUGAAGAUGAUUGGCCAAAGCCACUCCCACCAAAUGAACGCUUGGAACAAGAACUUUUCUGGAGGCAACACUGGGGUUAACUUUGAAAAAUAUGAGGACAUUCAGUUGAGGCAACAGGCAACAACUGUCCUCCACACAUUGAAAGUUUCAGUGAUGUUAGAUGGGAGAAAUUAUUAUGGGAAACAUUGAGCUUACUCAUUACACUCGCCCAACUCCAGUGCAAAAGCGUGCUAUUCCUAUUAUCAAAGAGAAGAGUGACUUGAUGACCUGUGCCCAAACAGGGUCUGGAAAAACUACAGUAUUUCUCUUGCCCAUCUUAAGUCAGAUUUAUUUUGUGGGUCCAGGCCAGGCUCUUAAGGCCAUGAAGGAAAAUGGAAGAUACGGGCACUGCAAGCAAUAACCAAUCUCUUUGGUGUUAGCACCAACUAGAGAAUUGGCCAUACAUAUUUAUGAGGAAGCCAGGAAAUUUUCAUACCAAUCUAGAGUUCAUCCUUGUGUGGUUUAUUGUUGUGCUGAUAUUGGUCAGCAAAUUUGAAACUUAGAAUGUGGAUGCCAUAUGUUAGUUACCACUCUAGCAUGUCUAGUGGAUAUGAUGGAAAGAGGGAAAAUUUGAUUAGACUUCUGCAAAUACUUGGUGUUAGGUGAAGCUGAUCGGAUGUUGGAUAUGGGGUUUGAAUCUCAAAUACAUAGAAUCGUUGAACAAGAUACUAUACCACCAAAGGGAGUUCACCACACUAUGAUGUUUAGUGCUACCUUCCCUAAGGAAAUACAGAUGCUUGCUCAUGAUUUCUUGGAUGAAUAUAUCUUUUUGGCCAUAGGAAGAGUUGGCUCUACCUCUGAGAACAUCACACAGAAAGUAGUUUGGGUGGAAGAGUCAGACAGUCAUUUCUGCUUGACCUUCUAAAUGCAACAGGCAAAGAUUCACUGACCUUAGUGUUUGUGGAGAUCAAAAAGGGUGCAGAUUCUCUAGAGGAUUUCUUAUACCAUGAAGGAUAUGCUUGUACCAGUAUUCAUGCAGACCAAUCUCUGAGAGAUAGAGAAGAGGCCCUUUACCAGUUUUGCUCAGGAAAAAGCCCGAUUCUCAUGGCUACAACAGCAAGAGGACUGGACAUAUCAAAUGGGAAACGUUAUCAAUUUUGACUUGCCAAGUGAUAUUGAAGAAUAUGUACAUUGAAUUGGCUGUAUAAGAUUUGUAGGAUACCUUGGCCUUGCCACCUCAUUCUUUAAUGAGAGGAACAUAAAUAUUACCAAGGAUUUGUUGGAUCUUCUUGUUGAAGCUAAACAGGAAGUGCCAUUUUGGCUACAAAACAUGGCUUAUGAAUACCACUACAAGGGUAACAGUCAUGGAUGAUCCAAAAGUAGUAGAUUCAGUGGAGGAUUUGGUGCCAGAGACUAUCGACAGAGUAGUGGUGGCAGCAGUUCCAGCUUCAGCAGCAGCCACACCAGCAGCAGCCACAGUGGUGGAGGUGGCCAUGGAAGCAGCAGAGGGUUUGGUGGAGGUGGCUAUAGAGGCUUUUACAACAGUGAUGGAAUUGGAGGAAAUUAUAACUCCCAGGGGGUUAACUGGUGGGGUAACUGAACCUGCUUUGCAGUAGGUCACCCUGCCAAACAAGCUAAUAUGGAAACCACAUGUAACUUAGCCAGACUAUACCUUGUGUAGCUUCAA
Molecule: non-coding RNA, 2087 nt
Organism: Odocoileus virginianus texanus
Lineage: Eukaryota; Metazoa; Chordata; Mammalia; Artiodactyla; Cervidae
Source: RefSeq, a predicted model, not a curated record